Molecule: ribosomal RNA, 469 nt
Filed under: uncultured bacterium
Lineage: Bacteria
Description: partial 16S ribosomal RNA
Rfam family: Bacterial small subunit ribosomal RNA
Source: RNAcentral
GACGAACGCUGGCGGCGUGCUUAACACAUGCAAGUCGAACGGAAAGGCCCUGCUUGCAGGGUGCUCGAGUGGCGAACGGGUGAGUAACACGUGGGUGAUCUGCCCCUUACUUUGGGAUAAGCCUGGGAAACUGGGUCUAAUACUGGAUAGGACCAUGCUGUAGGUGGUGUGGUGGAAAGAUUAGUUUCGGUAAGGGAUGAGCUCGCGGCCUAUCAGCUUGUUGGUGGGGUAAUGGCCUACCAAGGCGUCGACGGGUAGCCGGCCUGAGAGGGUGGACGGCCACAUUGGGACUGAGACACGGCCCAGACUCCUACGGGAGGCAGCAGUGGGGAAUAUUGCACAAUGGGCGCAAGCCGGAUGCAGCGACGCCGCGUGGGGGAUGACGGCCUUCGGGUUGUAAACUCCUUUCAGCCAUGACGAAGCCCUUGUGGUGACGGUAGUGGUAGAAGAAGCACCGGCUAACUACGUG